This is a long non-coding RNA of Saccostrea cuccullata (small rock oyster), 311 nucleotides long. RefSeq lists it as uncharacterized. NCBI's taxonomy places the organism in Eukaryota, Metazoa, Mollusca, Bivalvia, Ostreida, Ostreidae. The transcript is spliced from 4 exons. The record is from RefSeq and is a predicted model, not a curated record.
GAAACAACUCAGACUCAAUAUUUAGCUGGUUCCCCUUACGUAAGCUUACGUGGAAAGCUAUAAAUAAGCACUAGAUCACAGAAUUUCCGCUGAGCUGAGGCAUUCAUAGAGCCCCAAGAUAGAAGAUGACGCUAAAAAUUCAUAUUACUUAUUGUGGUGCAUGAGGAUACGCCCCCAAGUUUCGCAAAAUUAAAGCGGAACUUGAGAAAGAAUUUGGCAAUGACUUGGAAAUAACAGGGGAGGGAACUCCAACCACUACAGGUUGGCUGGAGGUCCAGAUUGUAGGAGGGGAACUUCUCCAUUCCAAAAAG